CACUUCUAAGGAAGGCAGCAGGCGCGCAAAUUACCCAAUCCUGACUCAGGGAGGUAGUGACAAGAAAUAACAAUAAACCGGCUUAUGCCGGUUUAAUUGGAAUGAGUACAAUUUAAACAUCUUAACGAGGAACAAUUGGAGGGCAAGUCUGGUGCCAGCAGCCGCGGUAAUUCCAGCUCCAAUAGCGUAUACUAAAGUUGUUGCAGUUAAAAAGCUCGUAGUUGGAUUUCUGUGGGGACGGAGCGGCCGGCCGCACAUCGCGGUUCGAGCUAGCGCUUUCCCUACAUCCUGCCGCGAACCGUGCUACCAUUAAUUUGGUGGCGCUGGGGAUCGGCUCGAUUACUUUGAGAAAAAUAGAGUGUUCAAAGCAGGCCACAUGCCUUGAAUAAGUUAGCAUGGAAUAAUAACUAAGGACUUCGGUUCUAUUUUGUUGGUGUUCGGGACUGAAGUAAUGAUUGAUAGGGACAGUUGGGGCGGUCUGUAUUCCAAAGCGAGAGGUGAAAUUCUUAGACCUUCGGAAGACAAACAGCUGCGAAAGCGUUCCGCAAGGAUGUUCCCUUUGAUCAAGAACGAAAGUUGGGGGAUCGAAGACGAUCAGAUACCGUCGUAGUCUCAACUAUAAACUAUACCAGCUAGGGAUCGGCCAACGUUAUUCUAUACCGACUUGGUCGGCACCUUAUGAGAAAUCAAAGCAUCUGGGUUCCGGGGGGAGUAUGGUCGCAAGGCUGAAACUUAAAGGAAUUGACGGAAGGGCACCACCUGCCGUGGAGCCUGUGGCUUAAUUUGACUCAACACGGGAAAACUUACCAGGUCCAGACAUAGUAAGGAUUGACAGAUUGAUAGCUCUUUCUUGAUUCUGUGGGUGGUGGUGCAUGGCCGUUCUUAGUUGGUGGAGUGAUUUGUCUGGUUAAUUCCGUUAACGAACGAGACCCCAGCCUGCUAAAUAGCGCGCGUGAGCUUUGCUCGCGGCGAGCUUCUUAGAGGGACUAUGAUACGCGAUAGCACAUGGAAGUUUGGGGCAAUAACAGGUCUGUGAUGCCCUUAGAUGUUCUGGGCCGCACACGGGCUACACUGGCGCCUGCAACGAGCAUAUCAGCUGGCCCGAGAGGGUCUUGGCUAAUCUUUUGAACCGGCGCCGUGCUUGGGAUUGACCUUUGCAAUUGUUGGUCAUGCAACGAGGAAUGCCUUGUAAACGCGAGUCAUCAGCUCGCAUUGAAUACGUCCCUGCCCUUUGUACACACCGCCCGUCGCUCCUACCGAUGAAUGUUCCGAUGAAAUUUUCGGAGAGCACCUGUGAACUUGGCUCUGCCUUGCGAACGGGAAGCUCAAAGUCACUUAAAUCUGAACAUUU
This 1351-nucleotide ribosomal RNA is filed under the name uncultured marine eukaryote. Its description in RNAcentral is "SSU rRNA". It matches the Rfam family "Eukaryotic small subunit ribosomal RNA", at positions 411 to 1774 of the family's 1831-position model. The record is from RNAcentral.